This 2155-nucleotide long non-coding RNA is filed under the name Triticum aestivum (bread wheat). RNAcentral's name for it is "long non-coding RNA (TAES_LNC023543)". The record is from RNAcentral. Lineage: Eukaryota; Viridiplantae; Streptophyta; Magnoliopsida; Poales; Poaceae.
UUAUAGCUGAAAAAAUCAGUAAAUGCAUGAAAAAUAACAAAUGAAGUCAGAAAGGCUUGAAAAUUAAUGAUGUGGCUUUGAAUGGUGCAUUUUGAACAUAGAAAAAGUAUGGAGUUCAAAUAAGUUCAAAAAAUGAAAUCCCUUUUGUAACAGACGAGUUUCCGUAUGAAACCCUGAUACUUCGAAAGAGAUUGUCCGUUUUGUACACGAAGGGCAUCUAGUUUUUGCCGUAAGCCUCUCUACUUUCUUGCACAUGCUAUGUGGGUGAAAUGAUGAUACCAUGCCAACUUUUAACCUUUUCAGAGUUCAUUUGAAAUGCUUUUCAAUUUCAGGGUCUUAUAGCUGGAAAAAAUCAGUAAAUGCAUGAAAACUAACAAAUGAAGUCAGAAAGGGUUGAAAAUUGAUGAUGUGGCUUGGAAUGGUGCAUUUUGAACAUAGAAAAACUAUGGAGUUCAAAUAAGUUCAAAAAAAUGAAAUCCUUUUGUUACAGACGAUUUUCAGUAUGAAACCCUGAUACUUCGAAAGAGAUUGUCCGUUUUGUACACGAAGUGCAUCCAGUUUUUGCCGUAAGCCUCUCUAAUUUCUUGCACAUGCUAUGUGCAUGAAAUGAUGAUACCAUGCUGAUACGUCUCCGUCGUAUCUACUUUUCCAAACACUUUUGCCCUUGUUUUGGACACUAACUUGCAUGAUUUCAAUGGAACUAACCCGGACUAACGCUGUUUUCAGCAGAAUUGCCAUGGUGUUAUUUAUGUGCAGAAACAAAAGUUCUCGCAAUGACCUGAAACUCCACGGAACAUAUUUUUGGAAAAUAUUAAAAAUAUUGGAAGAAGAAUCCACGUCAGGGGGCCCACACCCUGUCCACGAGGGUGGGGGGCGCGCCUGCCCCCCUGGGCGCGCCCCCUGCCUCGUGGGCCCCCUGACGCUCCACCGACCUCAACUCCAACUCCAUAUAUUCACUUUCGGGGAGAAAAAAGUCAAAGAGAAGGAUUCAUCGUGUUUUACGAUAUGGAGCCGCCGCCAAGCCCUAAAACCUCUCGGGAGGGCUGAUCUGGAGUCCGUUCGGGGCUCCGGAGAGGGGUAUCCAUCGCCAUCGUCAUCAUCAACCAUCUCCAUCACCAAUUUCAUGAUGCUCACCGCCAUGCGUGAGUAAUUCCAUCGUAGGCUUGUUGGACGGUGAUCCCUAGUAUCCACUAUGUUCUGAGAUUGAUGUUGCUAUGACUUUGCUAUGCUUAAUGCUUGUCACUAGGGCCCGAGUGCCAUGAUUUCAGAUCUGAACCUAUUAUGUUUUCAUGAAUAUAUGUGAGUUCUUGAUCGUAUCUUGCAUGUCUAUAGUCACCUACUAUGUGUUAUGAUCUGGCAACCCCGAAGUGACAAUAAUCGGGACCACUCCCGGUGAUGACCAUAGUUUCAGGAGUUCAUGUAUUCACUAUGUGUUAAUGCUUUGGUCCGGUACUCUAUUAAAAGGAGGCCUUAAUAUCCCUUAGUUUCCAUCAGGACCCCGCUGCCACGGGAGGAUAGGACAAAAGAUGUCAUGCAAGUUCUUUUCCAUAAGCACGUAUGACUAUAUUCGGAAUACAUGCCUACAUUACAUUGAUGAAUUGGAGCUAGUUCUGUGUCACCCUAUGUUAUGAUUGUUACAUGAUGAACCGCAUCCGGCAUAAUUCUCCAUCACCGAUCCAACGCCUACGAGCUUUUCACAUAUUGUUCUCCGCUUAUUUACUUUUCCGUUUCUACUGUUACAAUCACUACAAAACCCAAAAAUAUUACUUUCCUACCGUUACCGCUACUUCCAUACUACUUUGCUACUAAAUACUUUGCUGCAGAUAUUAAGUUAUCUAGGUGUGGUUGAAUUGAGAACUCAACUGCUAAUACUUGAGAAUAUUCUUUGGCUCCCCUUGUGUCGAAUCAAUAAAUUUGGGUUGAAUACUCUACCCUCGAAAACUGUUGCGGUCCCCUAUACUUGUGGGUUAUCACAUGCCAACUUUUAACAUUUUCAGAGUUCAUUUGAAAUGCUUUUCAAUUUCAGGGUCUUAUAGCUGAAAAAAAUCAGUAAAUGCAUGAAAAAUAACAAAUGAAGUCAGAAAGGGUUGAAAAUUGAUGAUGUGGCUUUGAAUGGUGCAUUUUGAACAUAGAAAAACUAUGGAGUUCAAAUAAG